This 5106-nucleotide long non-coding RNA is filed under the name Triticum aestivum (bread wheat). Its description in RNAcentral is "long non-coding RNA (TAES_LNC014619)". The record is from RNAcentral. Lineage: Eukaryota; Viridiplantae; Streptophyta; Magnoliopsida; Poales; Poaceae.
CCAUACAUACAGGGGAGCUACAUGUAUUACUUGGGGUGCCGCUGCCCCCCGGCCAUUGCUAAUUAGUGAAGGAAAUUUCUUCGUGAAGGCUCAAAUUUAGUAGAGUGCACUCAUUUGGCCCCCUCAAAGUUGCAUAUUUUCUAUUUGCCCCCCUGAGAUCCUUCAUUAGCUCCGUCAUUGGUACCGUAUCAUAGUGUCAAAAAAUAUCUUACAUUAUGAGGGAGUAGUAUAUCGUUGGACUGUAGGCAGGGUCUUCUGGACAGCACAACCAUCACAGCACAGAUCUAGCCUGGGGAAUUUUCCAUUUUGGUACCUGGUCUUUACAAUUUUCAUGAGCGUAGCGUGGCCAUUCCUGAGGUAGCAUUCGGUGUAGAAGACGACAGCAGCUACGGCAACGGCUUUAAUGCAGUCUUGUUCCUUUGCCAUGACGAGGAAAGAAAAAAGGAAGAAACAGAUCAAACACUGGUCCCAUACGUCUCUGUGAUCACAUCACAUCACUCAAAGAAAGAAAAGAAAAAAGAUACUAACUCCUAAGUGAGGCCAAAAACGUUAAAACUAAUUGCCGUGUUGCUACAGCAGUACAGCUAAAUAUAAAAAAGAUUACUCCUAAGUGAGGCAGUUGACUGAAGAGUUAACGCUACUGCCUUCCCUAGUUAACCAACUUUCUUAAGAACAACAAUACGAAAAUAGAACAGCAUUGAUCAACUAAGCAUAAUUAGAGUUGCGUUAUUUUUAGUGGUUGGCGGAUUCAAAUAUAUAUAAACAAAUAAAUAUGGAUUGUAUCCCUUGGGGCCUUGGGGGUAUGAAUGUUGAUUAUGCACUGGCAGUAAUCUACACAUUUUUGUGGAAACUCUGAAAAGUGUUCUGUCACUAACUACCUCGAGCAGUUUAGCCAAGAUUCGUUUUGACAGCAUCUGAUAGCCUAAGCAGAUUUUUACCUUGCUAGUUGAUUUCUCAUGAGAUGAACAGCACGCGCCAGCAUUUCCUACACAGUAGAGCGAGCCUGAGAACGCCCCUAACACAGCCAAAGUAAUCCACGAUUACCUGCACAGAAGGUUGGAAACUGUAACGCCAAACGACAAGCAGAUAGAUUUCUUUGCAAGUCACAACACCCCAUAGAAAGGAAAACGACCAGGUAUGCCUGACAACAGAUAGAGAAAAUAAAGAGUGCACCAAUAGUCCUUGGGGCUAGCAAGUUGAUAGUGUACAUCAACCUAGUAUAAUUUGACCAAAACAAUCUAACAACGAAUGGAGAUCAAAGCACAUCUCCAGCCCCUGCAUCCAAAGCGACAGUGCAUGUUUUCAUGCAGUUUAACAUCUCUAUAGUAUCACAUAUGUAUCUUUAAAUCCAGAAGUUCCAUUUAAUAUGGAUACUGUUCGGCAAGUCACAUUUGAAAUCAUAGUUCUAAAAUUGUUUGUUGUGCAGGAAUUGGCAACAUCUUCACACAUGUGUACCACAAGGAAAAAACCUAUCAAAAUUAUAAAUGGAGCAAGCGGGACAAUUCGUCCAUCACGGUAAGCAGCUCUACUUUUUACUAAAUCGAUAAUGGUUGAUACUGUUUAUCUCAGAGUAAGUGUUCCACUGAAAAACAUGUAACGCUCCAUAUCAGGAGUUCAUCAUUCAUUAAUUUAUUAUUCACCUAACAUGCUGAAUCUUUGUGAUCCCGUUACAUAAUCAGGAUGACACUUCUUCUAGGAGCACCUGGUUCUGGGAAAACUACUUUUUUAAAAGCAUUGGCAGGAAAGUUGGAUUCUUCUUUGAAGGUACACUGAGUUAUCUACUUGCCACCGAAACCACUUACUAACAAGACAAUCAUUGAUUAACCAGCAUUGUUUUUUUCUUGAUAUCACAUCUCUUAAUAGCUCAAAGGAAAGGUCAUGUACAAUGGAGAAGAAGUGAAUUCCUCAACACCUCAAUACCUGCAUGCCUACAUUAGCCAGUAUGAUCUUCAUCAUGCUGAGAUGACCGUCAGAGAGACGAUUGAUUUCUCUUCCAAGAUGUUGGGAACCAAUAAUGAAUUUGGUGAGACACCCUCUUGGGUAUGGGGAUAUAGCUUUAGUUCCCGUGUAUAUGAAUGAGCUAAUUUAUAACCAAACCCAGACACUGAAAAUUAAGAAGCACUCCUUUCAAGGUUUUUUUCCCUUUGCAUGACAUAAAUACUAAUGCAAAAUUCCUGUUUGAAAUGGUCGCCUUAGAGAUGCUGGGAGAAGCAAUAAGAAGGAAAAAGGGUGUCAUCAACAAAGUGGACCAAGAUCUUGACUCGUUUAUUAAGGUUACUAAGUUUAUUUUCCGCCAAUUUUGGUAAAACUGGAAUCCAGUUCCCCCAAUUGCUUAAAUCUGUUUUCUGCAGGCUACCACCUUCGGAGAAGGAAGCAACCUUACAACAAACUAUAUUAUCAAGGUAAAUUCGUAACUUUUCAAUUUAUACAUUUGUCUUCAUAACAUAAUCACAAACUUUGUGCAAAUGCAGAUACUUGGUUUGUCCGAGUGUGCAGAUACCCUAGUGGGGGAUGAGAUGAGAAGAGGCAUAUCAGGAGGACAAAAAAAGAGAGCCACGAUUGGUAAGGAUUCUAUAGUGUUUACUAUGUAUCUUGUUCCUCUUAUCACCCUCUGUUCCCACUUUAUAGAGUGCAUUUUCUAAUGCGACCUUAUUUCAUAAUAAAAAAAAGGGUUUAUGUUAUAGUCCUUGGCCCAAUAAAAAAUUUAUCACCUCAACAACUUAUAUUUUGUACAGUAUUGCUUGAUGAAACAAAGAUCCUAGUUAAACCCACAAUGAAAAGAUUGUAAAGUAACAAAAUGUCAAAAUGACACCAUAAUUUCUUGACAUGUUCGAUUAAAUGGACUAUGAAAACAGUAUGCGUGUACUUUUGUAGUGAGCCGGUCACGAUAUUACAGAAUGCUCUCUUCCUGCUGAACUCUCUAUUGUUCUCCAGAAAAAAUAAUUUGAGGAUGAUAUUUAUUCUACUGAAUAAGGGCAACUCUGAAUAUGUCAGAUGUAACUAAAAAUUAUGUAGAUUGCUGGAAGGUACCCACACUGCAAUGUGCUGCAUUUAUAAUAUAUAUUUUCCAUGGCCUAUUCUGCUUACGAAUAUGUCAGAUGUAACUAGAAAUUAAGUAGAUUGCUGGAAGGUACCCACACUGCAAUGUGCUGCAUUUAUAAUAUAUAUUUUCCAUAGCCUAUUCUGCUUACGAAUAUGCCAGUUAUACAGACGAUGGUGCCAGUACCAAAGUUAACAACUAUAAAUAUUGACGAUGUAAUCAACAGUGGUUUUCUUUUAUCAAUUUGUCAUUGUUGCUAUAUUUUUAAGAUGAAUUCACUAAUGCAGGAGAGAUGCUAGUUGGUCUAGCAAGAUGCUUCUUUAUGGAUGACAUAUCAACAGGUCUAGAUAGCUCCACCACAUACGAGAUCGUAAAGUUUCUCCAACAAAUGGCUCAUCUGAUGGAUCUCACUGUGGUUAUUUCCUUGCUUCAACCACCUCCUGAGACGUUGGAAUUAUUUGACGACAUAAUCCUUUUAUGCGAGGGGCAAAUUGUAUAUCAUGGUCCUCGAGAAAAUGCUACUGGUUUCUUUGAAAUUAUGGGAUUCAAAUGCCCCAGCAGGAAGAAUGUAGCUGAUUUCCUUCAAGAGGUACUAGAUUAUAAACUCUAAUAAGAGGGAACUACUGAAUAAAUCUAUAUUGCUAACUUAAGGGCAACCAGUCAAUAAAUAUCAGAAAGUAACAAUGUAGCAUGCAGUACAUGAGUUGCAAUUCCAUCCACAAAAUUCACUAUUAUGUUAUAUGUACUUGUUCGUGCAUAAUAAUGCAAGUAACUGACAGCAACUUUUCUUCAUUUGACCAGGUAACCUCGAAGAUGGAUCAAAAGCAAUACUGGAUUGGUGAUGAAAAUAAGUAUCAAUACCGGUCAAUCGAAAAAUUUGCAGAAUCUUUUCGUUCAUCCUAUCUCCCACAACCUGCGAAAGACGAUCUCUGCAAGACAAACAAUACAGGAAAGAGAAAGGAGAUUAUAACAAGUGCAACUCGCAGGAUCUCUAGAUGGAAUAUUUUCAAGGCAUGCUUUUCAAGGGAAGUAUUGCUUCUUAAAAGAAACUCCCCACUUCAUAUAUUUAAGACUGUACAGAUAACUGUUAUGGCUUUGGUGAUCUCAACGGUUUUCCUUCGAACAAAUAUGAACCAUAAAACUGUACUCGAUGCCAAUAAGUACAUGGGAUCACUCUUUAUGGCUGUUGUGAUAGUAAACUUCAAUGGCAUGACUGAAAUUGGAAUGACAAUAAAGCGACUCCCCACUUUCUACAAGCAAAGAGAGUUACUAGCAUUGCCAGGAUGGGCACUUCUUUCUUCGGUAUUCCUUAUCAGCCUCCCAAUGUCACUUCUAGAGACAGGUCUGUGGACCAGCUUAACCUACUAUGUGAUUGGCUACGCACCUUCCUUUCUCAGGUACCCCUCCUAGUCAAUUCAAUAUCUAAUGAGCAAAAUAUUUGAAUAAGCUGGAAUAACAGAACGAGUUACCUUGCUUCUUGCAGAUUCAUCCAGCAGUUUUUGGUACUUUUUGCCAUGCAUCAAAUGUCAAUGGGCCUCUAUCGUUUCUUAGCGGCAAUAGGAAGGACGCAAGUAAUGGCCAACAUGCUAGGCACUGCAGCUCUCAUAGCAAUCUACAUAUUUGGAGGCUUUGUCAUAUCAAAAGGUUAGAUGUUUUAGCUCAGAAUAACGUAAGAUGUAUGAGUACUUGUGCAACGAAGAUGCUUAACAGUUUUGUACAUUGAAACAGAUAACCUCCAACCAUGGUUGCAGUGGGGAUACUGGACAUCCCCAUUCACCUAUGCACAGAAUGCUGUUGCCCUAAAUGAGUUCCUUGAUGAAAGAUGGGCUAUUGUAAGCAAUUGUUUCAACUAACAUUCUUGAUCCAAUGUACAUAACCCGUGCAAUUAGUUAUGACCUGAUGAUGAUUUUUCAUGCUGACAGGAAUUUUACUAUGCAAAUGCUAAAACAGUUGGUGAAGCUAUCCUCAAGAUCAGGGGGUUGCUCACAGAGUGGCAUUGGUACUGGAUUUGUGUCGGCAUUUUAUUUGGAUUCUCGCUGGUCCUCAACAUCCUCACUAUAUUUGCA